RNA transcript from Prunus persica (peach), 1765 nucleotides. It is a transcript of the gene named telomere repeat-binding factor 4, with no coding region annotated. The transcript has 7 exons. The record is from RefSeq and is a predicted model, not a curated record. NCBI's taxonomy places the organism in Eukaryota, Viridiplantae, Streptophyta, Magnoliopsida, Rosales, Rosaceae.
ACGGGAAGCGGGAGAGAGACAGAUGUCGUCCUCUUCCCUCGAAAACUGUUUAAGAGAGAGACAGAGUGAGUGAGAGAGAGAGAGAGGGCUUUAGACAGAGAACAGAGAGAGAAAGCUUUGAGAGGGGAGAGAAACAGAAAGCUUUGAAGGGGAGAGAGAGAGAGAGAGAGAGAGAGAGAGAGAGCUUUGAAGGGGUAGGGAGAGAGAAGGAACGUAUAAUGGGAAACCAAAAGCAAAAAUGGACGGCGGAGGAGGAAGAAGGCCUACUGGCCGGAGUUGCAAAGCACGGCCCGGGCAAGUGGAAGAACAUUCUCAAAGAUCCCGAAUUUGCCUCUGUCCUAAUACACCGCUCCAAUAUCGACCUCAAGGAUAAGUGGAGGAACUUGAGUGUUAGUACUUCUGGACAUGGUUCUAAGGACAGACCAAGGGGUACAAAGGUAAAAAAUAGAGUGUCUGCCCAGCACCUUGUUCGUAACUCUGCUCCUACUGCUUCGGUUCGUCCCAAUGCAUCUCCUGCUUCAGCCCCUCCCAAUUCAUCUCCUGCUUCAGUUCGUCCGAGUGCAUCUCCUGCUUCAGUUUGUCCCAAUGCAUCUCCUGAUGCCAUGAUGGACGAUGCGGUUAAUAGUGCACCAGAAUUGAAAAGUGCUUCACAGUACGAUCCAAUGAUUUUCCAGGCCCUUUCAACGAUGAAAGAUAUGAAUGGAUCUGAUUUAGGUGCCAUUCUUAACUUUAUUGAGCAAAGGCAUGAGGUACCCGUACCACCAAAUUUCAGAAGGUUAUUGGGUCCAAGGUUGAGAAGGCUUGUUUCACAAGGAAAACUGGAAAAGGUACAAAAUGGCUACAAGUUAAAAAAAGAUGCAACAUUUGGAACAAAAACACCUACACUUACGCGAAAUCAAAGGGAUGUUAGGCCCCGGAAAUUGCAGAAUUCUGGAUCAAUGACAUUUACUGAAACAGUGCAGGAUGCAGCUGAAACUGCUGCCCAUAAACUUGCAGACGCUGAAGACAAAUCCUUUGUGGCUGCUGUUGCAAUGAAGGAAGCAGACAGGAUUUCAAAGAUGACAGAAGACAACGAGUCAAUUUUACAGCUAAUUGAAGAGAUUUAUGAACGAUGUUCACGUGGUGAAGUUGUCGCCUUGGCGUAGGUCAUCAACUGUAAGUCUGAUUAGUGGAUUCCUUGUAAUUUAUCCGUAUGUAAAUUCGUUGAUCCAAUCACACAGUUUAAGCUCUUUCCUUUUCAUGAAAAUGCAUCAGUAUGCGGUUAUACCAGAAGUCAAUUCCAUUUGGAUGGUGUCUUGAGUGUUCCUGGAUUCAACCUACAGCUAUCUGCUUCUAACAGUCCAAGUUAUCAGCAAGCUUCCCAUCGAGGAGGUGGUGGGCGGCUCCAUGCAGCAACUGCUGCUGCUGCUCAGAAUGGGGAAGCUCUUUGGAGUUUCCCGUCAGGUGGUGGGUGGCUCCACGCAGCAACUGCUGCUGCUGCACAAAAUGGGGAAGCUCUUUGGAGUUUCCCAUCAAACAGGUGGUGGGCGGCUCCAAGGGGUUGCACAACAGCCCACCAUGCCUACCAGGGACCUUAUAAAUAGAUUCUUCCACACAACUCAAGUGUAAUGAAUCACAUUAGGAAUCAAUUUAGGUGAAAGACCUAUCACCAGUAACAGCUUCACCAUGCGUUUUAUUUGCUUACAAAACUACCAAGUUGCUCCAUUUGCCAGCUUUCAUGAGAAGCAACAUGUUCAUGGAAAGGAGUGCAUUGCUGCCAAAAACA